This 1147-nucleotide long non-coding RNA is filed under the name Pan troglodytes (chimpanzee). RNAcentral describes it as "long non-coding RNA NONPTRT011889". Lineage: Eukaryota; Metazoa; Chordata; Mammalia; Primates; Hominidae. The record is from RNAcentral.
GACCGCUCUCAGCACCUUCGGCCUCUACCUGAAGAGCCACGCCCCGUCUGCUACACCCAACCGAUUGGUUCCUCAAUCACAGAGAGGAAAGGCAACAUGAGGAUGACGUCAGAUACAAAUAUGGCGUUUUGGACGGGCUCGAUAGUUUGCUUGGCCUCUACUCAAGCAAGCUGCCCUGUUGUGAGCUCUCUGGUGGAGAGCCCCACAUGGCAAGAAAAUGAGAAGCCCCCUGAACAGACAAGAGCUGAGGCCCAGGAUACAAUAUCCUGAAAAAAACUGAAUCCUGCUGACAGUUGCCCAAGUGAAGCUGGAAGUGGAUCUUUCUGCAGUGGAUCCUUGAGAUGACUGCAGCCCUGGCUGAUAACUUGAUUGCUGCCUGUGAAGGACCCUGAACCAGAGGACUCAGCGAAAUUGUGCCCAGAUUCCUGACCUACAGAGGCAGUGAGAUAAUAAAUGCUGUUGAGGUCACAAAGUUUUGAGGUAUUUGUUAAUACAGCAAUGGAUACUUAAUACAGCUUCCUACAUGGUCUCCCUCCUUCGACCUUCACGCUACAAUCUGUUGUCCACACAGCAGUCAGAGAUGCUUUUAAAACAUAAGUCAGAUCAUCAUGACACUCACCUCCCUGCUAAGUGUCCUGCAAGGCCUUUCACGGUCUGAUCCCCUAUCCUUUCUCUUUCCUCAUCUCCUAUCACUCUUGCCCUUGCAAAUUUUCUUCCAGCACUCUGGCCUCCUUGCUGUUCUUCAGUAUGGCAAGAAACGUGCUGCCCGGAGCCCACACACUGACUGUCCCCUCUCCUAGAAUAUUCUUCCCUCAAGGGCUCCCAUAUCUUGCCUGCUGGCUCCUGCAUCUUCUUCAAGUCUGCUCAAAUGUCACCUUCUCAGUGAGGCCCAUCCUGGCUAUCCUCUUUCAGUUCUGACAGAAAAUAAUUUAUCGCUUUAUUACAUCAUUAUUUUGUUGUCUUCCCUCCGUCUGUUCCUACUAAAAUUUAAUCUCUGAGAAAGCAGAAAACGUUGUCUUGUUCUUUCCUGUAACCCAAGUGCCUUGAACAUUGCCUCAUUAAUUGCUUGCGCUCAGUAAUAUGUGUUGAAUAAAUGGGUUAAGUAGUUUAUUAAUUGUGAAACUAAAUCCUGUCUGAAAGGUUUAGA